UAGAGAGAUAGGAAUUGAAC
RNAcentral lists this transfer RNA (20 nucleotides) under Osteocephalus buckleyi (Buckley's slender-legged treefrog). Its description in RNAcentral is "partial tRNA-Gly". The record is from RNAcentral. Lineage: Eukaryota; Metazoa; Chordata; Amphibia; Anura; Hylidae.